Molecule: long non-coding RNA, 1386 nt
Organism: Daphnia pulex (common water flea)
Lineage: Eukaryota; Metazoa; Arthropoda; Branchiopoda; Diplostraca; Daphniidae
Exons: 7
Source: RefSeq, a predicted model, not a curated record
UAAUGGCCGCCUCAAAUCAUGCUCAAAUCGCGUUCUAAAAAUAUUUGUUCGAAAGAAGAAAAGUGCUUAGUUUCUUGUUUUCUUUGAAUAUCAAGAAUUGUGUAGAAGGGAGAUAACUUGUGUCACAAAGAUUAGCUACAAAAUGCAAAUUUGAGCGUACGAUAAGCAGGGAAUUAACUAAAUAAAUGUGAAAGAAAAGUAAGCUUGACUGAACUUCACGACUUUUUCUACGGCAUUGGAGUUCUAUGACAGAACAAGUGUCAUGCUAGACAGGAUGGCCUUUGGUUCAAUGUCCUGCUAAAGAGAAUUAGGCCAAUAUAAUGUACACCUACCUGGAGCAACUAGUAGCCAACUACUUUCAAGUUUCAAUAGCCUGUCAUUGUCAUAAAAUUAAGAAAACAUUUAUUCUGCUCAUACCUGGACCACCUGGCCCGCCUGGUCAACCUGGAUUAAACAGACCAAUUGAACAUCCUUGGUUAUGAUGGACCUGCUGGAUCGCCUGGCCCUGUAGGAAUGAUUGGAAUGCCGGGUGCUUAAGGGGUUAUAACGGGAUGAAUGGUGUGAACGGUGUUAAUGGAAUGAAGGGAAAUCCUGGUCCAGCCGGAGCUAGUGGGAUUCCGGGGAAGAAUGGAUUACCCGGUACGGCGGGAGCACCUGGAGCAGCGGGCAGUGGAAGCUCAUCAUCCUCUUCUUCCAGCGGCGGUGGUGGAGGUGGUGGGACCAAUGGCACGGUUGGCGGCGGUUGCGGAGGCCGCUCUCUUGACUGGAAGCAUCAACAUCAAAUUGUUAAACGAGAAGAACCAGACCCCGAAGACUGUGAAGAGGAUCCUUGGUACUUUUCAUCAUUUCAUUCUCAUACCUCGAUGAUUGGGCAUAAAAUAAGAUCAUCAUCCGAGAAGAAUGAGCGGCCUCUUCCUCCGCCAUUGCUACCCCCUUCACCUCCACCGCCACUUGAAAGUCACGAGAAACAUUACGUAAAACUGGCAUGCUGUGGUGUAGAGGUUGGGUGAGAAUUACACGUGUUUCAUCAUUUUCAAAGCAGGUACAAUAGCCGCAAGGCUUAAGAGGAGGGGUGAGAAAAAGUCGUAGAAAAGGCGAGAGAAAAGGCGAACGAAAGUAUUCAAGUGAGCACCUUUGACAUGGAUGUAUAAAAGGAGAGAGAAAAUGUGAAAGAUAUCAGUCAAGAUCUCCGACGCGACAUCAACUGCAGCGCAUUAUUGGUCAACAGCUGCAUUCUUCAUUGUAUUAUCAGUUCGCAAUCAUGGUUACCAUCGAAAAAAUUGGAUGUUCACUUUCGAAGGUCACGGAGAUCAUUACGUAAAACUGUCAAUGCGGUGGUGUAGAGGUUGGGUGAGAACGGGAAGUGUUUGCUUCAUUAUCAAACAG